Molecule: long non-coding RNA, 1819 nt
Organism: Astatotilapia calliptera (eastern happy)
Lineage: Eukaryota; Metazoa; Chordata; Actinopteri; Cichliformes; Cichlidae
Source: Ensembl
ACUAAACCGCAGCAACUGUCAGGCUAAUAGGAACACAUUAGCACAGGGAAGAUGGAGGAUGAGGGUUAAGUUGUUCUCAGUGAAAUUUCAGGUUGAAGCUCCCAGAUGGGCCGAGACAAACAAUCAUGGCAGAAAGAAACAGACGUCUGAGAUGAUCCAACCACAACACGAGCAGGUGAAGCGACAGUUAGCGGUCGGUGUCCCUCCAGCUGCCCGUUUCCUGCUCAGUAUUUCCGAUGUGCGCUGAAGUUGGAGCUGCUGUUUGGUUGCUGGCUCGGAGGCUGAAUGAGCAGAGCCGCUGCAGCUCGGCACUUUUCUCCUCCCCUCCGCGGUCACAGCUCAGAGCUCAGCAACACCGACAACCUGCCACGGCCACAGCCGCUGCUGCUUUACCACAGGAGCUCCAAAAACAGCCACCAAGACCCACGGGGGACUGUUUUAUUUUCUUUUUUGUUUCUGUGGCUUUGACAUAAAAGCUAGCAAUGAAUAUGGAAAUCAUCCUUGGUUAUUUUUUUACAUGUUUCUUUAUCACUGCUGUCUGUGAUGUAUUUUAAUUACAUUCUCCAGCUGUAAUCUUUAACCUGUACUUCUAUCUGCUGCCCUUUUUAAGGGUCACCCCCCUCCUGUGUCACACUAACCAUCUGGAUGUCCUCCUUCAUCACAUCCAUGAAUCUUCUCUGAGCUUUUCCUUUUUCCUCCUGUGUGGCAGCUUCUUCAUCAUUCGUUGCCCCUCAUUUACAUCAUCCCUCCUCUGCACAUGUGCAAACGUCUCAGUCUUGGCUCUCCACAGACUCUGUCUCCAAACUGCUCAAGCUGAGCUGUCCCUCUGACACGUCCAUUUAUAAUCCUGUUCAUCCCGGUCUCUCCCAGUGAAAUCCUAACAUCUUCAGCUCAGCCUUCCACCUUUUUGUCUCAAAAUCAUGCGUCACAGCAGGUCUCACUACCAUCUUGUAAGUUUGCCCUUUCACUUCUCCUGCUAUCCUUCUGUCACAAAUGACCUCUGACACUCGUCUCCACCCUGGAUGCGCUCUCUCUUGUGCACUGUCCAUCACGUUGGAUGGUUGAGCACAGUUAUAGGUAAUUAAUAUUAUGAAUGGUACCGAGAAAAUGAAGUGUCAGCAUAGACCUUCAGUUUUGGGAAACAUGGCACAUUAUAUGUGUUAGGUAUUUUAGUACCAUGGGAGCAUUUACUGGAUAUUGUUUUAUAGUGACAUUAUGCAGGAAAACUCUGUCAUUCAAUAAGGCCCCUUUGUUUUAGUUAUUUUUCUCUUUGACCCAAGAAUUGAUGUGUGAGAAUCACAGGCUGGUACAAGGUUGAAAUACCACAGAGAUCACUCCCUCAGCUACAUUAGUUUCUUAAUCUUUUAGACGCCUGUUGAAGGCCAAAUGGUUUGUUUCAGAUUUCACUAAUGAAAGAACUCUUUGUUUUGUGCCUUGAAAAUAUGUCGCUGAGAUAAUCACAAUUGUAGCUGAACUGAUACACUACACAAAGGAUGCUUCUUCACCCAAGGGCAGGAAGACGCUGCCUUAUCUUGGUCUGUACUGGUUUAAACUGAUAAAUCUGCUGUCUCAUGAAUUUGUCCCUCUAUAUAAACUGUUGUACUUGUGAAUAAAGUUGAGUCAAUUUGGGAAGACAACCUGAAGCAGUCUCUGUUUUCUUGUUCUCCCAAGCUGCUCCCGAGCUGCUCGUACUAACACGCUGAAUGGCAUGCUUGAAUAUUACUUGAGAAUAUAUUUGACUGUGUUACAGACUAAGGGACAUUCUCUGCUGAUAGACGUCCACGCCUCGGAGGAAGCCGAUCCACGGAGUAGGCCCUGG